RNAcentral lists this ribosomal RNA (400 nucleotides) under uncultured bacterium. RNAcentral describes it as "bacterial SSU rRNA". It matches the Rfam family "Bacterial small subunit ribosomal RNA", at positions 490 to 890 of the family's 1533-position model. The record is from RNAcentral.
GCCACGGCUACUACGUGCCAGCAGCCGCAGUAAUACGUAGGUCCCGAGCGUUGUCCGGAUUUAUUGGGCGUAAAGCGAGCGCAGGCGGUUUAAUAAGUCUGAAGUUAAAGGCAGUGGCUUAACCAUUGUUCGCUUUGGAAACUGUUAAACUUGAGUGCAGAAGGGGAGAGUGGAAUUCCAUGUGUAGCGGUGAAAUGCGUAGAUAUAUGGAGGAACACCGGUGGCGAAAGCGGCUCUCUGGUCUGUAACUGACGCUGAGGCUCGAAAGCGUGGGGAGCAAACAGGAUUAGAUACCCUGGUAGUCCACGCCGUAAACGAUGAGUGCUAGGUGUUAGGCCCUUUCCGGGGCUUAGUGCCGCAGCUAACGCAUUAAGCACUCCGCCUGGGGAGUACGACCGCA